AUGAUCUAUAGAGACGAAAUAAAUACAUACAUACAUACAUACAUACAUAAGAAAUUCCUUAAUUCAACAUGAGCAAGAACAUUAAUACAUCAAUUUCUCUUUUUUCGAUUUCUGUGAAACACUGCAUUCUAAAAUAACUUGCUUAUGAAAUUUAAUAACUGGUGGGGAAAACAGAGUUUAGAAAACUGUAAAGAACUGACCUGCAAUAUGUGCUAUACUUAUGUAAAUAUAAAGUCAAGGACUGGGCAUUGUUGUUCCAUUCUUUUGAUAUUAUAAUGUUCUUGUAAUAAUAAUAGAAGUCUUACGGUACCAGAAUUUUAAAAUCCAAUAUUUACUGACAUAUUUUGCAUAGAAUACAGUACAAUUUGUAGUUUAGUUGUUAUCAGGUAGUUAUUAUAUUAAUUCAUGUCAUCGGCACAAAGCUUCAGAUAUACAGCUUUUAAAAUCAUGUUCAGGUUUCUUUCUAAAUUGGUGAUACAACCUUCUUGUGGCUUAUGAUUCUGUUAAUUUACAUAUCUUAUCGUUCUUCAUUGUUAAGCUCUCUCAUAUUUAAUUUAUUUUUAUUCAACAAAUGUCACAUCAGAAGAAACUAACAGUUCGAUCCAGACACACCAGUGCAAAAGAAAAUAAAAUUAUCAUGCUGUGAGGUACCUGCCUAUCACUGGCACAUCUGUGGCACAAAAAUUGAACUAUGAAAUGCAAAUCAUAUAUAUAAUCAUGAAGAGUCGGUCAGGUUAUACCAACCUUGCUGAUUUAGCAAGCUUGUGGUGUGACAGGCUCUGUAUCCAAUGGCUUCAGCCUUGUAUGGAUGUGCUGGAAUGUGUAAUAAAUACAAUACAAUACAAUACCUAACCUACAAGUUGCCAACCUCCUUGCUGUUAUGCAGAAUCCAUAUAUAAGAGUUCCAAACUGAACUGGCUGAUUGAGUUUGUUAUACAUGCCAUAUAGGUGGAUUCCUUAUAUUUCCUGUACCCACUGUUAAUUUCAGUUUUCAAAAUCCUGGCUUCAUCCAACCUACCUUCUUCAUGGACAUGUUGGGCUAGUUUUGUCUUUUGUAAAGGACUGUCUGAGAAUGUGACGCUGCACAGUUAGUGGUCUGCAUAUUUCACUAACAGCUGUUGCCACAGAGAAUGCUAUAGGUGCAAUGUGCUGCCUGUUGCAGAUAUCUUACCAGUCUAGUUCCCAUGAAUGGACUCCUAAAAAUAUUUUGUUUUGAAGGUAGUUUUAAUGUUGAAAUGAUUCCAUAUCUGUUAUGAAUUGCAUGGUUCAGUUUGUGGAGCAUCUGAAAGUAGCAAAACAACAUUGACAGUUUCAUUUCUUGGCUGGAAAUCAACCAGUAUGCACUCCUCAGCAUUCCAGAAGAGUGUGACAAUGAUUUUUUCAGCUGAAGGUAUGGUUCUGGCCUUUUCUUUGUAAGGUGUGAAUAGUCUCAGAAGCUGGAGUGCUUAUAAACUCCAUGUCAUACUGCUAUCACUGCUUCUUUGGAAAUAAACAGCAGUUUUCUUUUGUGUGGAACCAGCUUUCAUUACCAGUCACAUUGUUCAGUAGGAAGUCAUCGCCUCUGAAGUGCAUCAUUGAAGCAACUGUGGUGAUACAUUACUGCAUACUUCUGUGCUCAUCUCACAGCUGUUGCUAAACCCCAAAACAACAAACGUUCUUGUAUCCCUAAGUAUUUUUCUUCUCCAAUGUCAAGCUGCAUUACAGGUUCUGUAACUGUUGUCCCUCAGUCUGCUGUGAUGAAUGCAUUGCAUUCGAUGGUGGUAGUUCUUGGCUGACAUCUGUGAGACAGAUUGGUGAUGUCCCUGCUGCCAUAUUUGACUUGUUCACCCAGCAUCAUACAUUGCUGGCACCCAUGUAUGAAUCCCCAUGUACAUGAUGGAUUCGAAUAAAGAUAACUGUAACAGAACAUUUCUCCUGUAUGAGGAAUUCACUCACAGCACUCUGGUGAAAUGACACAUCAUUUGUAGCCAUUUGGUUCCGAGGGAUUAUGGCUCAGUGAUGGACCAUGUGUGCUGUUUUUCAGAUUGCAGAAAACUAAUGCAGCUUUCUGCUGAGGUGUCUUACAGUAGUGUUUUUACCGAAGUGUAGAAUGUAAAUAACAAAAUUAUUAAUUAAAUAAGUUGUUUACUCUCUUUUAUUUGGUUGAUAUGUGUUAACAGAACGAAAUUUACAUUCAAAUUGUGUUAUGUUGGUAUGAUUGACUGGGACUGGUAGUAAGUAGUGCUGCGCUCUGUGAGUUCGUGUACUGUAGCGAAAUAAACAGUCACCUAACAGCCAUGUAGUGUUCUAAUUUGUUUGCAUGAUACCGCUUCAUACAAAGACUAAGAAAUAAAGUUUUACAACAUAAGAAAUUAACAGGUUAUGGGCCCAGGCAGAAAAUAUUACGCCCUGAAGUGUGUUGUGUGAAAUGGUCGAACUUGUUCAGUGAUUCGUGUGGGAGUUUUCUCUUUUUUUUUCCGUGGAAAAUUGUUAGGCGCGAGAGGGGGGCAUCUGUUGAAGAGAUCCAUUCAAAAUGGCGGAGCGAAGUAUGUAUUAUAUGGGUAACCAAGAGGAGAAAACUUACGAUACCGAAAAUAACACGACGCAAUUAUAAUGGGUGGAUGGCGCGUGUGAAGUCAGAACUUUUAUUACGUGAAUGCUGGGAGCCAAUCGCUGGAUAUGAAGACGCGGCAGGAGCGCAAUUAUCACAAACGGAGAUGAGGAGAGUCAAAGAAAACCUUAACAGCAUUAGCAGUCAUCAUAAGAACUGUAAGUGACGAACUGAUCAACGACAUACAUGACUGCAAUGACGCCAGAGAAGCAUGGGGAAUAUUGGACAAAGUAUGUAACGAAAACACAGAAUACGGUGCCAUGACAAAACUAAGAGAAUUAGCUUGAAUACAGAAAUUUGAGGAUGUAAGCAUGCGAGAUUACUGCUCAAAGAUUAUGACUUAAUAGGCUACUGAAGAGAAAUGAUCUUAGAUUUUCAGACAGACAGCAGCAACAUGUCUUAACUGGACUACCCAAACCCAAAUAUGAGAUAACAGAGAAGACACUGAUAGCGCAACCAAAUAAUUUACAAAUAGCAGUAGUUAAGCAAUACUUACUUAAAGAAGAGGAGCAAGAAAAGCAAGAUGAGGAAGAACAUCAGGCACUUAAAGUGAAGAGAAAUUACUCAAGGAGACAAACAGAGACGAAAGAUGCAGAAGAGAAGCAGAACUGCCAAAAUCAACACAGCUAUCAGGGCAAAGGGAAAUUCAGACCCCGAGGAGGUAAGCAGUAUGAGCGUACCAAGCAGCGGUUUUGGUGCUAUGCAUGUGGGGAAGAAAACCAGAUUGUAUACAAUUGCCCUAGGCGGUUGGAAGGAGCCAAUAACAAAGGGAAGAUAAACGGUGAAAGGAAGAUUAAAGAUGUGGAAACCAAAGGUGAGAAGAAGGAGAGGGCCAGCGCAUCUCUAGUAACUAUGGAGCAUAUACUACUAUGUACUAAGAAGAAUAUAACAAACAAUGGAAGUGUAUGGCUGUUCGACAGUGGAGCAUCUGAUCAUAUGACAAACAGGAAGGAUCUCACGCACAACUUUGCAAGCAUAAAUGGAGAGGUAGUAGUAGGUGAUGGAGCCCCUUUAAAAAUUGCAGGAAAGGGAAGGAUAACGCUCUAAAUGUCCCAGGAAUGCGGAGGAAAUGAUAUAGAGUUAAAAGGUGUGCUUUAUGUCCCAGAGCUACAAGAUAGUCUUAAUUUCUCAAGGCCAGAUUGAAGAAAAUGGACUUAAGAUUGUGAUGCACAACAGUACGUCGAAAAUCAUAUGUAAUGAGAUGAUGAUAUUCCAAGCUCACCGAGUGUCAAGGCUGUAUUAUGUAAUGACCCUGGGUAGCACCACUGUGGACAACAUCAAGGAGGCAUAUGACAGGCAGAAGAGUGGAGAGAGUGAGUGUUCACCAUGUGAUGAGAACCAUUCCCAACUGGAGAAGGGGAAAAGGCCGAAGAAGUUUUAGACAGAGUCCACUCUGAUGUUAUAGGACCAAUAUCACUUAUGUCAAUGCGACAGAAGAAAUACAUCAUUAUGUUCAUAGACGAAGCAUCAAGGUACGUAACAGCUGUUGCUAUCAGAAGAAAGAGUGAGACAUUGGCGGAGUUCAUAAAGUACAAAAAUAGGGCAGAAUUACUGCAUGAUAAGAAAAUUAAAGAGUUACAGACAGACCAGGGGACCGAGUACCUAGAAGCCGGUGUACAGAAAUAUUUACAGGAAAAUGGAAUACAGCACAGGAGAUCAGUUAUCUACACACCUCAGCAGAAUGGCUUAUGUGAGCGCGUGAAUUUAACAUUGUGUAAUGUGAUCAGAUGCAUAUUGAUUGAAUCAGGACUACGAGUAGCUUUUGGGCAAAGGCAUUACAAACAGCUUGCUAUAUGAGGAACAGGUGCCCAUCAGAAGUUAUCCAGUUCAAGACACCAUUAGAGAUAUGGAAAGGGAGAGACUUGAAGAAAGAAGACUUCCAACACAUGAGGGUGUUUGGGAGCAGGGCAUGGGAAUGGGUCCCCGAUGCACACCAAGAAGGGAAAUUUAGCCUUUGUGCAAGAGAAUGUGUGUUCCUUGGUUAUGAUGAUGGAACAAAGGGGUACCAUCUCUGGGACAAAGAAUGUAGAGUGAUAAUUAAUAGUCGAGAUGUUAAGUUUCAGGAACACACAUUCCCAUACCUGGAAAGGUGAUAUCAUCAAGCGAGGAAACGACCCUAAUACGAAUCGGAGAAACACCAGAUGAACAGGGACUUCUAAUUGGAGAGAACAGCUUAGAUCAGGAUGAAAUAACUUACACUGGUGACAAUAUACGUCCAACGAGAGGUACUGGACCAAAAGGAAGAGAGGGCUCAGUCACCAUCUCAACCAAGAAGGACGGAGAGGAUUAAAUACUCAAAGCCAAGGUUUGAGCUACCAUGUUGCAUGAGAGCCACACACCUGACGUCCGAGGAGACUGUAUCACCACUGGAAAUUAUUCCUACAGUUCAUGAGGCACUCAGCGGCCCCAGGAGCUGGAAACGAUGAGGAACCAGGAGACGUGGGAAUUAGUUAAGAAACCAGAGAACUGUAAUGUCAUAGGAUGCAAGUGGGUAUUUACAGUCAAAACUAUCAAUGGAAGGAUUGUUAGAUAUAAAGCUAGAUUAGUGGCUCAGGGUUUCAAGCAGAUUCAUGGGGUGGACUACACAGAGACAUUUAUUUAGUCCAGUACUUCACAAGAAAACGAUGAGGACACUUCUAGCUAUUGCUGUAGAGAGACAGUGGGAAAUGAUACAUAUAGAUGUGACUGGGGCUUACCUGAAUAGCAAACUUGAAAAUCUGAUCUAUAUGAAGCAACCCCCAGGUUUUGAGGAGAGGGGAGACAGUUUUGUCUGUAAGCUUCGAAACAGCAUCUCAGGCCUUAAGCAGUCAGGUAGGGACUGAACAAACAUUUGCAUUGAAUCUUGGUAAAUAAGUUAAGUUUUAAACGGUGUGUAAAGGACGCUUGUGUAUAUGUAAAGAAAUCAAUUGUUUUAGCAGUAUAUGUAGAUGAUAUGCUUUUAAUUGGCAAAGGAGAGGUAUGAAAGAAAUUCGAGAGAAGCUAUCAGAUGACUUGGAUGUGAAAGAUCUGGGUGAAGUUUCAAAAUUUUUGUCCAUUAAUAUCAGAAAGGGAGGUAGUGGUGAGUUAAUCCUAGAGCAAGAAAAAUAUAUUGACUGGCUGUUAGGUGAAUUCAAUAUGGGAAACUGGAAAGGGCUUAGUUCACCAUUGGAAGUUGGAUGUAUUAACACUGAUAGGGCUACUGAGAAGAAAUUUUGUCAAUCUAUUUACUGUAAGGUUGUAGGAUGCCUUCAAGACCAGGUAUCACAAACCCUGUCUGUAUAGUUAGCCAACACUGCAAAGACCCUACUUUCACAAAGUGGAAUAAUGUUAAGCACAUUUAAAGAAGACCAAAAGUUACAGAUUACAUUUUUGUAAGACAAACAAGGAGACUUCUGUGUUUACAGAUUCUGAUUGGGCUACUAAUAAGAUGGACAGUAUUUCUGUUUCAGGAUAUUGUUUCAUACUAGCAGGAGGAGUCGUAUGUUGGCGUAGCAAGAAACAAAACCGAGUUGCCGUUCUUCUACGCGUUAUGUGUACAUGGCAAAAUAUGAAUGUGUCUCGGAGUUCGAAUGGUUUAGGGACUUUCUUCUACAUGAGGUGGGUCACCAGUGACCUGAUUUGUACACACUGUGGCUACUGCCUGUGCAAACACCAGCACCAUCCACCAGACAGGAGUGUGCCAUGACAUUAUAUCCCUUUAUUUUAUUGUGACAUGACUACUUAAAGGCUCGAUAAACAAGCGAGCUGUCACUAGGCAAUGGCUCAUCAAGAUGUCAGCAACAGUGA
Cryptotermes secundus is the source of this 6355-nucleotide long non-coding RNA. RefSeq lists it as uncharacterized. The record is from RefSeq and is a predicted model, not a curated record. NCBI's taxonomy places the organism in Eukaryota, Metazoa, Arthropoda, Insecta, Blattodea, Kalotermitidae. The transcript has 3 exons.